RNAcentral lists this transfer RNA (92 nucleotides) under Salmo salar (Atlantic salmon). It matches the Rfam family "tRNA". Rfam says of the family: Transfer RNA (tRNA) molecules are approximately 80 nucleotides in length. The record is from Rfam by way of RNAcentral. Lineage: Eukaryota; Metazoa; Chordata; Actinopteri; Salmoniformes; Salmonidae.
CCCUGUGUGGCUCAGUUGGUAGAGCAUGGUGUUUGCAACGCCAGCAUGGUGUGUGUGCAACGCCAGGGUUGUGGGUUCGAUUCCCACGGGGG